Small nuclear RNA from Chlorocebus sabaeus (green monkey), 104 nucleotides. Lineage: Eukaryota; Metazoa; Chordata; Mammalia; Primates; Cercopithecidae. The record is from Ensembl.
GUGCUCACUUCAGCACGUAUACUAAAAUUGGAAUGAUACAGAGAAUAUUAACAUGGCCCUGCUUUAAGGAUGACACAAAAAUUCAUGAGGCAUUUCAUUAUGUU